GUCAAUGCCUCCUAAAUGCGUGGAAGUCUUCUAUAUGCACAACCCGCAGCCAAUUCUCUACUGGAGAAACUGUUCACAGACUAACUGGAGGCGGAUUUACUCCCUAUGGUAAAUCCAAAUUAUAGUCGGUCACUCUCUGAAAAGAGAAGUGAGAAAUGUUGUACACACCGCCCGUCGCUACUACCGAUUGAAUGGCUCAGUGAGGCUUUCGGACUGGCUCAGGGAGGUCGGCAACGACCACCCAGAGCCGGAAAGUUGUUCAAACUUGGUCAUUUAGAGG
RNAcentral lists this ribosomal RNA (280 nucleotides) under Helotiales sp. RNAcentral's name for it is "partial small subunit ribosomal RNA". The stretch from base 166 to 280 matches the Rfam family "Eukaryotic small subunit ribosomal RNA", at positions 1667 to 1779 of the family's 1831-position model. The record is from RNAcentral. Lineage: Eukaryota; Fungi; Ascomycota; Leotiomycetes; Helotiales.